AGAAAUGAAGUCCAAAAGAGUCAACUGAAAGAGAAAUUGCAUAGCUUUCAUGGUGAUGAUGUUGGUGAGAACGCCGUUGAGAUUGGCGAGAGUGACAGGGGACCGUCCAUGCAAGAGGAGAGGAGAUACGAAUUUGCUGAGCAGCAGUAAAAUAAUGAAGGUUGCAUAGAGAUGCGUGAUUGGGUCUUAAGAUCUGAGAACAGAAAAGAGAAAGAGGCUGGGGUUCCUGUAACCCGACCUCUUCUUCUGUGCAGAGAAUUCAGAUUUUACAGAAAAAGAAGAAGGCUCGGGGAAC
This 295-nucleotide unclassified non-coding RNA is filed under the name Hevea brasiliensis (rubber tree). Lineage: Eukaryota; Viridiplantae; Streptophyta; Magnoliopsida; Malpighiales; Euphorbiaceae. The record is from RNAcentral.